CAGGGAUUGCCCUAGUAACGGCGAGUGAAGCGGCAACAGCUCAAAUUUGAAAUCUGGCUUCGGCCCGAGUUGUAAUUUGCAGAGGAUGCUUUUGGUGCGGUGCCUUCCGAGUUCCCUGGAACGGGACGCCACAGAGGGUGAGAGCCCCGUAUGGUCGGACACCAAUCCUGUGUAAAGCUCCUUCGACGAGUCGAGUAGUUUGGGAAUGCUGCUCUAAAUGGGAGGUAAAUCUCUUCUAAAGCUAAAUACCGGCCAGAGACCGAUAGCGCACAAGUAGAGUGAUCGAAAGAUGAAAAGCACCUUGAAAAGGGGGUUAAACAGUACGUGAAAUUGUUGAAAGGGAAGCACUUGUGACCAGACUUGGGCCGGGCGGCUCAUCAGGGGUUCUCCCCUGUGCAUUCCGCCCGGUACAGGCCAGCAUCGGUUCUUACCGGGGGAUAAGAACGGCAGGAACGUGGCUCCCUCUCGGGGGAGUGUUAUAGCCUGCCGUACGAUACCC
This 499-nucleotide ribosomal RNA is filed under the name Tubakia sp. PQS01. Its description in RNAcentral is "eukaryotic LSU rRNA". It matches the Rfam family "Eukaryotic large subunit ribosomal RNA", at positions 69 to 580 of the family's 3401-position model. Lineage: Eukaryota; Fungi; Ascomycota; Sordariomycetes; Diaporthales; Tubakiaceae. The record is from RNAcentral.